GGUAGUAACACGUGGAUAACCUACCUAUAAGACUGGGAUAACUUCGGGAAACCGGAGCUAAUACCGGAUAAUAUAUUGAACCGCAUGGUUCAAUAGUGAAAGACGGUUUUGCUGUCACUUAUAGAUGGAUCCGCGCCGCAUUAGCUAGUUGGUAAGGUAACGGCUUACCAAGGCAACGAUGCGUAGCCGACCUGAGAGGGUGAUCGGCCACACUGGAACUGAGACACGGUCCAGACUCCUACGGGAGGCAGCAGCC
Molecule: ribosomal RNA, 256 nt
Filed under: uncultured Staphylococcus sp.
Lineage: Bacteria; Bacillati; Bacillota; Bacilli; Caryophanales; Staphylococcaceae
Description: partial 16S ribosomal RNA
Rfam family: Bacterial small subunit ribosomal RNA
Source: RNAcentral